AGCAAGAUGUUAAGUCCCGCAACGAGCGCAACCCUUGUCUCAUGUUGCCAGCGGGUUAUGCCGGGGACUCAUGGGAGACUGCCGGAGUCAACUCGGAGGAAGGUGGGGAUGACGUCAAAUCAUCAUGCCCCUUAUGUCUUGGGCUUCACACGCAUGCUACAAUGGCCGGUACAAAGGGUUGCGAUCCUGUGAGGGGGAGCGAAUCCCAAAAAGCCGGUCUCAGUUCGGAUUGGGGUCUGCAACUCGACCCCAUGAAGUCGGAGUCGCUAGUAAUCGCAGAUCAGCAACGCUGCGGUGAAUACGUUCCCGGGCCUUGUACACACCG
RNAcentral lists this ribosomal RNA (325 nucleotides) under uncultured Rarobacter sp. RNAcentral describes it as "bacterial SSU rRNA". It matches the Rfam family "Bacterial small subunit ribosomal RNA", at positions 1071 to 1392 of the family's 1533-position model. The record is from RNAcentral. Lineage: Bacteria; Bacillati; Actinomycetota; Actinomycetes; Micrococcales; Rarobacteraceae.